This is a long non-coding RNA of Mastomys coucha (southern multimammate mouse), 2072 nucleotides long. RefSeq lists it as uncharacterized. NCBI's taxonomy places the organism in Eukaryota, Metazoa, Chordata, Mammalia, Rodentia, Muridae. The transcript has 3 exons. The record is from RefSeq and is a predicted model, not a curated record.
GUAAGCAGAGGUGCUGGCGCCCCCGAGUGGGUGUGGUCACGUUGCCCAGCAAUGGGCGGUGAUUGGCCCUGGGUGGUGCAUUCGCAGCUCGUGCGUCACGACGCCGCCAGCUGAUCGGAGACUGGAGCCGGUGUGUGCUGGGCGCUGAGAAGAGACAGAGCGGUCGCCCGUGCGGAGAGGUCGCAGUGAUUUUGCUCCUCUAUCCUCAGCAACCCCCGCACCCAGCAUCAGGAACCUGUGCCUCCCACACCCUCACCUGGCUGAGCCGCAGUAGUUCUUCAGUGGCAAGCUUUAUGUCCUGACCCAGCUAAAGCUGCCAGUUGAAGAACUGUUGCCCUCUGCCCCUGGCUUCGAGGAGGAAGAGGAGGAGCAGCUUCAUUGCCUAUCAUCUGGAAGGAUAGUGAGACUCUGCUCAAUACUGUGCAGGCAAGAAAUUGUCUCCUGCAGCCAUCAGGGGAGAUGGGUUAUAUGAUAUGAGUCCCUUCUGCUGCCUCUAGCUCCUGAUUCAUUCUCACGUAUGGGCUUGGUCUCUGAUUGUGGUUCACCUUUGGCCCAGUCUUCCUAACAGAAGAUGGGUUCAGGAGGCACAGGAAGCUGUCUGUUGUAUUUGGCAGGAGGAGGAGAAGUUCUAGCCCCAUUUAUGAGAAACUGAAAGCCAUAGGGGAGACUAGAUCAUCUAAUCUAGCCCCACUGCAGUCUUAAGAUGAGGGGUAGGAUGUGUAAGGGACCGUAGCAGACGGGGUAGGGAGGCUGAGCCUGCUCACACACUGCAACAAAGAUUGUCCUGUCCCUCGACCUCGCUUGCUUUCUUUCCUCCUCACUUCACUGGCCAGUGUGUCCCUCCGGCACUGGGUAUAUGGCUCUGCUGCCUUCAUCCAACACGGAGCCUCAGAGCUGAGGAAGGGCAGCCUGGAAACAACAGAGGCAGGCAGAAAACAGUGGAGGACCUGGCCUGGUACCACAAGAGCCUAUCCGGACAUUGGUCAGAGGGGCACACAGAUGCCUGGAGAGCACCAGGAAAGAGAACAGCCAGCCAGUCUCAGUGAAAGACACUUCCAGCCAUCUCCUCUCAGGACCUGCCUCCCUGGGAGACGAAGGGCCUCCGGGAAGUAUGGUCCCAUCUCUUCUCUACACUGCAGUUUCUAUAUAAACAGCCUCAAGGAGCAUGAGUCACCUCUGAAAGGAAAUACAUAGCAAAUUCAAAAGGAGAUUCAAAUGUGUAACACCAUGGGAAAACAUAUUUAUGCCUGGGGCUGUAGCUCAGUUGGUAGAAGGUUUGCUUAACAUGCACCAAGCCCUGGUUCUGUCUUCUGCAUUGCAUAAAGCUGGACAUGAUGGCCCAGGCCUGCAAUCCCGGCACUCUGGAGGUGGUGGUAAGGUCAUCCUCUGCUAUACAAUGAGUUCUGAGUCAGCCUGGAUUACAUGAGACUGUCUCAGCAUUGGUUAGUAAUUCAAAGAAGGCAGAUAUCACUGAAAUAAUGUUCCCUGGUCAUAAUACAACAAGUAAAUGAAAGCCAAAAGAAGGCUCCUAGGCUUUGUAUGUAGCAGUAUCAGCCAUUGUAAGAGAUGCCUUUUGACCUAGUAGUUUUCUGUUUUAGAAAUGUAUCUUAAAGUAAGGAUUUGGUUAUAAGAUGUUCAUCUCAGGGUUGUAAUAGAGAAAAAUUGAAAGCAACUGUUUGUUUGGAAGUCCAUUCCUUUUCUGCUGUCAUGAAAAUUUAUAGCUGGGGAUUGCUUAAGUAAAUUAUAUUCAUCUGAUGGUGGUGUACUACUCGGCCAUCCAAAGUCUUAUAGAAGAAAAACUGAGUGGAAAUAUAAAUAUUGAAUAGUAAAACAAUUAUAAAAAGUAUGAAUUUGUGACUGAUUGCUUUUAAAAUAUGGGUGCAUACUUGUAAUACAUUUUUUUUAGAAAAACACUGAAAGUAGAUUCAAAAUGUUAAGAGUGGUUGUUUUUGUAUGGUGGCAUAGUACAAUUGUGAAUUUUCCCUUGUUUUUUCUGUCUCUCUAAGUUUUUAAUAUUAAUUAUGUAUUUCCUUCAUAUGUUAAAUAAAAUACAAAAGACAAGUGUUUCAAAA